This 354-nucleotide RNase P RNA is filed under the name candidate division TA06 bacterium B3_TA06. RNAcentral's name for it is "RNase P RNA component class A". It matches the Rfam family "Bacterial RNase P class A". Rfam says of the family: Ribonuclease P (RNase P) is a ubiquitous endoribonuclease, found in archaea, bacteria and eukarya as well as chloroplasts and mitochondria. Its best characterised activity is the generation of mature 5'-ends of tRNAs by cleaving the 5'-leader elements of precursor-tRNAs. The record is from RNAcentral.
CCGGUGGGCCAGGUGGUCGCUCUGCCUUCGGGGCGGAGAGGAAAGUCCGAACUCCACAGGGCAGGGUGCCGGCUAACAGCCGGAAGGGGCAACCCUUGACCAGUGCCACAGAAAACAUACCGCCUGUUCCCGCAGGUAAGGGUGAAAAGGUGCGGUAAGAGCGCACCGCCUGGGUGGUAACAUCCAGGGCACGGUAAACUCCACCCGGAGCAAGGCCAAGCAGGGGGGCGGCGGCCCGUCGACUGGACGUAGGUCCUGACCCCUCGGGUAGGCUGCAGGAUGCCCGCGGCAACGCGCUGGCACUAGACAGAUGACCGCCCUAGACAGAAUUCGGCUUACAGGCCCACCGGACCC